Molecule: long non-coding RNA, 386 nt
Organism: Oxyura jamaicensis (ruddy duck)
Lineage: Eukaryota; Metazoa; Chordata; Aves; Anseriformes; Anatidae
Exons: 2
Source: RefSeq, a predicted model, not a curated record
AGGUCACUAAGAUCCCAGUGCCUUUGUAAGCAGCUUCUCAGAACACUCAGGUCUGGGGACAAAGGAAAAUGAAUAAAUCCUAAUUAAGCCACAAGUGCAACAGGAUGAUGAGACUGAUCCUAGGUAGCUCCCAAAGGAUACGAAACUGUUUCAAAACAGCAGUUGCGCAGUCUUUGCACCAUUUCUUUAGGAACUUGUUAAACAAAAAUACUGCAACAGUCAAUAAGGCUGGAGUGGUGAAAGGUACUCUCACACCCUUGUGUUUGUUAUCUGUCACAGGAAACAGGGAUGCACAGGCAAUGCUGACAGGCAAAGCUGAAGACUCCUUGCAUGCUGUGGUAAAGCAAGAUCUUAAAGUGUUCUUUAAGAAGUAAUCUUAAAAACAA